AUAACACUUCAGCAGAGAGAAACCAGUGAGAGAUUAGUUAAUU
This 43-nucleotide non-coding RNA is filed under the name Trypanosoma brucei brucei. Lineage: Eukaryota; Euglenozoa; Kinetoplastea; Trypanosomatida; Trypanosomatidae. The record is from RNAcentral.